This is a non-coding RNA of Guyanagaster necrorhizus, 78 nucleotides long. NCBI's taxonomy places the organism in Eukaryota, Fungi, Basidiomycota, Agaricomycetes, Agaricales, Physalacriaceae. The record is from the annotation of a RefSeq genome assembly.
GGUUCAGUGGUCUAGUGGUUAUGAUUUGUGUCUCACAAGGUACACACAAGGUCCCCAGUUCGAUCCUGGGCUGAACCA